UCCUUAUAAGAGCAGUCCGAUUGAAGAAGACGACUCAGAGAAAGUAUGGACUGCUGUCCAAUCAAGAGGACAACAUGGAGAUGGCGCAUCUUGAGAGCGACGAGGAAGACAUGACUGUUUACGAAGCGAAGGCACUGAGAAGAUGAGUCCUGGGUAUCUGGCCAAUAGAGCAGCGACGACUGGAAAAGAAUGGAAGCGGGGGCUUUCUUCAAGCUUAUUUUUUCACCACUAGAAUUUAGUUUUUAUUUUUCUCCAUAUCCACGAGAGGCAAUAGACUGGAUAUUCAAAUGAUUUUUCUGUAACCUUUUUAACAUAAGCAUAUGAAUUGUUAAAAGAUAGGUAUGCAUUGGUUUGUGGUGAGCAAAUGAGCAAGUCUUCUUGGUUUUUAUUUAAUCAUCUUUGGCAGAUGUGUUGGAGGUUAUAGAGUGCAGUAAGUGAACGGAAUCUGUCAGGCACCCUUUAGUGCUGAAACUGCCUGUGCAGUGUCCUGUCACUCCAAAGUUCUGUGGACAUCGUGCCCAUCAGACCCCCACAAACAGUCUGGUUUUCUAUUUUUGGCAUUGUCACAAGGCACAGACUUAUGGGGGGGGGGGGUUCUUUUUAUUUAUAUCAUUAAAUAUCUUGUGUCUUUAUUCAUGUUACAUCAAUUCACCACCUAUUGUGACCUUUUUAGUCACAGGUUUAAAAAAAUGGUGGCCUUCAAGAUUUUUCAUGAUCUUUUUUUUUUUUUUUUUGCUUUUUUUUAACGUUUACGCUUAUCUCUGUACUGAAUAUUAGUUCUCAGUGGUCAAACUUCACUGUGAACAUCUUGCGUUCAGACUGGGCAGAUUAGACCAGCGUGAUCGAUUGCCUGAGGGGAGUUUCUCACCGAGAUCCUUCCAAUGUGCCAAUACAUCGCGAGCCAGCCGUCCUCGCCUGACUGGUUCAUCCAGUGGGACUGUCAUCCACUGUUUAAUAGCCCUAGCCGCGCGAUCUGGUUAUAACCACAACAGAAGAGAGUUGCUCACAGAAGCCUUCAUUCUAAAAUCCAUAGACAAUCUCAGGGGUGAUAAAGAGCCCGAUCCUAGAGCUCCAUUAUCUUCAAAUUGAUGAAUUAUUAACCAUUAUCUCCAAAGCUGGAUUCUUUUAGAGGUCAUAUUGCUCAUCAUUGAGAUAAGGAUGUUGGCAGAGGACAGGUUUGAUUGGAGAUUUCCUCCCUCUGUUCUGGCUGCAGUCCUUCCAACGUGAUAUUUUCCAACUAACAUGGACAAUGUUGUACCGAGAUGUGCAUUUAUUUAACAUUGGAAUGUGGCUAUACAGUGAUGAUCCUCCUUGCACUUCAUUGGACUUUAUUCUUGACUUCAUAUUUUGUGGCGUAAUUCCAGUGCUGUAAGUUUAUUGGGCUGAGGAUUCUGUUCUCAGAGAGGCAGACUAACUGUUGGCUUGGAUUCCCUUAAUGCGUUUUGGUUCUUUUAAUGUAAGCACUUGUCACUCACAAUUGUGUACCAUAGCUGGUGUUCAACCUUUGUUUUGUCAAAUGUUUGAUUCAGCACUGGAAAGUGUUGGUCAUGUCACUUCAGCAGUGAUUUUUGCAGAAACAUCUCUAAAUUGUUGUUUGUGAUUUCUUCAUGUUGGAUUUAAUUUUCGUUCGCGUGUGCCAACCAUCCACAAACAUGCAGGCCUGCUCAAGAUCAGAAUUUAAGCAGAUCCUGCAGACUCAGACGAACUGUAUUCAGAAAGCCAAAGAAUUAAUAUGGAAGAUUGCAUGUUUGAAAAUGUGUAAGUUAAAAAGGUAAUGUUCUCUGCUUGUUUAUUGUAAUGUUUCAUGUAAUAAUCUCUGUAUGCUGCAAAAGCAUAUGCACUGUUGUAAAUCCCUUUGACCGCAGCACUCCUGCUCCACAGGCAGGUAUACGAAACGAAGGAGGGAAAUAAGGUGAUUUGACGCAAGGCUUUACACUGUUAAACAUUUGCUUAAUUGUAAUUAAUUUUGUGCUCUUUCUCAGGGGGUUACCUGUAAUUGCGAGUAAGUGCGAUUUUUCCUGUGGUGGUGUUAAUCGAAUGAGAUGAGCGGCCAAGCGAGACAUGGCUUCUGCUGUAGGAAUGGACCGUUGGGUUAUUGAGCCAGAACCCACUGAGAAAUCUCACAUCUUCUCUGCGCAGACUGGAUUUCAGGGUAUCGAACACGGAGCUGACGUUUGGUUUUUGUGUCUUGCGGCCCUGACAUUCCAUUACCUUUGUAAAGGACAGCAGAAUUAUCAGUCAAAGCAUCUCAGAAAAUUUGGCUCUGAGUGUGUCACUCCAUUUUGCAAAUUGUGAGGGUUCUGUGGCUUUUGGGGGCCUAUCUCAUCCACAAAAAUGAUUUUGUUCAUUUUUGGUUUAAGUCAUUAAUAAUCUCUUUAUGAAGCCACAAACACUCCAGUUUGUCAGUGCUGAUAUUAAAUUUAAAAAAAGGAAAAAAGAGAGGUCAGGAUAGAGGCAGUAAUGGUGUUGGUUCUAAAAUAUUUUUGGAAUACUUACCCAUGACUGGACAGAAUGGGCAACCUCAGGAAGAAAGGUGCGUGAGAUUAAUCUGUCUGGACCAAAUUUUGUGGGAAAUAUUCCUGAUUCCCUUCAGCCAAAACGAUGCAUUCUGGAGUAUGACGUGUUUGUAAUUAGAAUUCCAGCAGUGAGACAAGUCGUAAAGGCUAUAGAGAACAUCAAAUGUGUGAGUGGGGGCUCGCAAUGAUGUCAUGCCAACUGCGUCUACUCACUUGAAAGUAUGAUUAUUUUUGUGAAAACUAUUUUUAAACUGAUGCUGUAAAUGGCUUGUAUCUCCUUCAAGCUGAUUUUUGUAAUCUCUUAAAGUUAAUUUGUCUGUAAGGAGUUGACAAAUCUGAGCUCUUUUAGUUGAAUUUCACAGAUGUCUGAAUUGGUUGUUUGAUUAUAUGCGAUGAAAAACAAACAGAAGCUGCAACUUUGUGGAAACAGGCUUUCGCAGCUCGCUCAAGUGUUUGUUUAGAGCUUCGUCAAAUACUACACUCUCAUUUUGCAAAACAAGUACUAUAUUAUUCUGUUCUUCCUUGCUGCUUCCUUCUUCCUUACUUCUCAAUUCUGUUGGUAUCAAAUUGAAUUCCCUGGAUAUUUAAACAGAGUUUGCAUAAUUGGGGCCAAAUACUGCAGUAGACUGGGAGGGAAGGUUAUAAAGAGUAUGCAACUCUGAAUGGGAAUUAAUGACUUAAUUUCCAUUUUUGAUUUGAAAGUGAAAGUGUCUUCAGGAUGCAGAGGGGCAGUGCCUUUCCUCUCUGAUAAUGCAGCAGUACUUGACUGCAGACAAUCAGGAGCUUGUGUUGUACACAGUGAACUCUUUUCUAAUAAAACCAUAACGAGUGAUUUUCAAUACA
Molecule: RNA transcript, 3359 nt
Organism: Anguilla anguilla (European eel)
Lineage: Eukaryota; Metazoa; Chordata; Actinopteri; Anguilliformes; Anguillidae
Gene: fam174c
Gene name: family with sequence similarity 174 member C
Exons: 3
Source: RefSeq, a predicted model, not a curated record